This 1250-nucleotide ribosomal RNA is filed under the name Eggplant big bud phytoplasma. RNAcentral describes it as "bacterial SSU rRNA". It matches the Rfam family "Bacterial small subunit ribosomal RNA", at positions 153 to 1399 of the family's 1533-position model. The record is from RNAcentral. Lineage: Bacteria; Bacillati; Mycoplasmatota; Mollicutes; Acholeplasmatales; Acholeplasmataceae.
GAAACAGUUGCUAAGACAGGAUAGGAAAUUAAGAGGCAUCUUUUAAUUUUUAAAAGACCUUUUUCGAAAGGUAUACUUAAAGAGGGGCUUGCGCCACAUUAGUUAGUUGGUAAGGUAAAGGCUUACCAAGACGAUGAUGUGUAGCUGGACUGAGAGGUCGAACAGCCACAUUGGGACUGAGACACGGCCCAAACUCCUACGGGAGGCAGCAGUAAGGAAUUUUUGGCAAUGGAGGAAACUCUGACCGAGCGACGUCGCGUGAACAAUGAAGUACUUCGGUAUGUAAAGUUCUUUUAUUGAAAAAGAAAAAAUAGUGGAAAAACUAUCUUGACAUUAUUCAAUGAAUAAGCCCCGGCUAAUUAUGUGCCAGCAGCCGCGGUAAUACAUAAGGGGCGAGCGUUAUCCGGAAUUAUUGGGCGUAAAGGGUGCGUAGGCGGUUUGAUAAGUCUAUAGUUUAAAUGCAGUGCUUAACGCUGUAGCGCUAUAGAAACUGUCUGGCUAGAGUUAGAUAGAGGCAAGCGGAAUUCCAUGUGUAGCGGUAAAAUGCGUAAAUAUAUGGAGGAACACCAGAGGCGUAGGCGGCUUGCUGGGUCUUAACUGACGCUGAGGCACGAAAGCGUGGGGAGCAAACAGGAUUAGAUACCCUGGUAGUCCACGCCGUAAACGAUGAGUACUAAGUGUCGGGUUUCGGCUCGGUACUGAAGUUAACACAUUAAGUACUCCGCCUGAGUAGUACGUACGCAAGUAUGAAACUUAAAGGAAUUGACGGGACCCCGCACAAGCGGUGGAUCAUGUUGUUUAAUUCGAAGAUACACGAAAAACCUUACCAGGUCUUGACAUAAUUUUGCGACAUUAUAGAAAUAUAAUGAAGGUUAUCAGAAUUACAGGUGGUGCAUGGUUGUCGUCAGCUCGUGUCGUGAGAUGUUAGGUUAAGUCCUAAAACGAGCGCAACCCUUGUCGUUAGUUGCGACCAUGUAAUGGUGAGCACUUUAGCGAGACUGCCAAUGAAAAAUUGGAGGAAGGUGAGGAUUACGUCAAAUCAUCAUGCCCCUUAUGAUCUGGGCUACAAACGUGAUACAAUGGCUGUUACAAAGAGUAGCUACAACGUGAGUUUUUAGCCAAUCUCAAAAAAACAGUCUCAGUUCGGAUUAAAGUCUGCAACUCGACUUCAUGAAGUUGGAAUCGCUAGUAAUCGCGAAUCAGCAUGUCGCGGUGAAUACGUUCUCGGGGUUUGUACACACCGCCCGUCA